Molecule: long non-coding RNA, 1419 nt
Organism: Sus scrofa (pig)
Lineage: Eukaryota; Metazoa; Chordata; Mammalia; Artiodactyla; Suidae
Source: RefSeq, a predicted model, not a curated record
CAUCUCUCCCAAGUGGCUAGGGCUGCCUACCUGGGGCUGUGGGUUUGCGGGACCCACCAUUCAGGAGAAAGUGUAAACCGUUCUGAAGUCGGGACCGUGACUGGCUGACACCUUAGAUUGUCUCUGUGUCGUCUGCAUUGAUAUGCAGGCUCCUUGUCCUUAUGGACUUCGCAGGUGGUCUGCUUGGCCCUCCAGUUAAAGGUCAGGGCUGUCGGGAACAUUAGACCCACCUGGCCACUCCUUCGCUUGGCAGAAGAAGGAAACCCGAGGCCCAGGGAGUCCCAGGCGUCCUGGGCCUUCUCACUCCCGGCUCCCCGAAGCUUUCCCCUUGACCCAGGGGUGCCCGCAACACUGUAUCUCACACACGGCUAUGCACUUGGGUCCGAAGCCCCUUGAACAAUGGGCCACCGGAUUAAUUGGAGCCAGGGAGUUGCUGCUGCUGCUCUUUGCUGGCCCCUGUGACUUCAGUCAAUGACGAUCUGGAUGUUCGUGGACCUGGCCAGCUGGUGUCGCAGGAUGUGUACAGGCCCCCAGAGAAUGGGUGUUCAUUCUUCUGCUCAGACCUGAAAGGCAGGUGCUCCUGGUCAGCAGGCGGGUGUCCUCCAGGCUCUGAUGCCGGGAUUCAGGCUGCCCAUCUUCAACGCAGGCCUGCGAAGAUCGCUUCCCUCCGGCAGAAAGGGACAGAGCGGCGGAGAGUUCAGCGUCUGAUGCAGCGAUGCAGGUGUCGUCGGGGAAACCACGAGGAAAGACGGGGGGGGUGACCAGAAGCGGGAAGAGCAGGGUCUGGCCUGCGGGAGGGAGGACGUGAUGGAGGAGGACCCGGAGAGGCUUCUAAAAGAGGCUGAGGAGAGAAGAGACAGGAAGAGAUGGAGGUGUCCCCCCCGGGGUGUGGGCCACAGGCCAGCCUUUCUCUUGUGACUUUGUCUUGUGCUUCCGUCCAUGUCUUCUUCCCUCCUGGACUGUGUGUUCUCUGGGAGCAGUGAUUGUGUUUCCUGAAUCUCUGUCUCCUGUCACAGGGCUGAGCUCAUAGUUGGUGCUCAGUGAAUGUGGGGGAAUGGAUGGGUGGCUGGAUGGUGGCUGAUGGAUGGCUGGAUGGCCGGAUGGGUGGAUGAUGGCCGGCUGGCCGGAAGGAAGAUGUGAGAAGUGGCUGAUGGAUGGGUGGGUGCCGGAUGGAAGGAAGGAAGGCGAGUGGCCAGUGGAUGGAGGGACGAUGGAGGUGGAAGGAUGCAUGCUGAACUCUUCCUUUAUUCCCAGCCUGGUCACAGAAGAGCUCUUUUCUCAAAAUGAAACAAAACCAAAAAAGGUGCCACAAAGCCCUUGGUGAUGACGGGAUAAAGGAAUAGAUGGUGGCUGUCUCUUGCCCACUUCAGACCCAGAGCUGGCCCGGGAGACACUCAGGUGGGCUCUGCUGGCUGAUGA